Long non-coding RNA from Corapipo altera (White-ruffed manakin), 709 nucleotides. RefSeq lists it as uncharacterized. The transcript has 3 exons. The record is from RefSeq and is a predicted model, not a curated record. NCBI's taxonomy places the organism in Eukaryota, Metazoa, Chordata, Aves, Passeriformes, Pipridae.
AUUUUUUGGGGAUAUUUCGGUGAGUUUUGGGUCAUUUUUUGGGGAGAUUUUGGUAAGUUUGUGGUCAUUUUUUGGGGCGAUUUCUGUGAGUUUCUGGUCAUACUUUGAGGAGAUUUGUGUGAUUUACUGGUCAUUUUUUGGGGGAGAUUUUGGUGAGUUUCUGGUGAUUUUUGGAGGAUAUUUGGGUGGGUUUCGGGUCAUUUUUUGGGGAGAAUUUGGUGAGUUUCUGGUCAUAUUUUGGGGAGAUUUGUGUGAGUGUGUGUUCAGUUUUUAGGGAGAUUUGUGUGACAUUUGGGUAAUUUUUUGGGGUGAUUUGUUUGAGUUUGUGGUCAUUUGUUGGGGAGACUUGGGUGAGUUUCUUGAAAUUUUUUGGGGAGAUUUCUGUGAGUUUCUAGUCAUAUUUUGGGGAGAUUUGUGUGAGUGUGUGGUCAUUUUUUGGGGAGAUUUGGGUGAGUUUCGGGUCAUUUUUUGGGGAGAUUUGUGUGAUUUCUGGUCAUUUUUUAGGGUGAUUUGGGUGAAUUUCGGAUCAUUUUUUGGGGAGAUUUGAGUUAGUUUUGGGUCAUUUUUUGGGGACAUUUGUGUGAUUUUGGGUGAAUUUCUGGUCAUUGUUUGGGGAGAGUUGAGUUAGUUUUGGGUCAUUUUUUUGGGAGAUUUGGGUUAGUUUCUAGUCAUUUUUUGGGGAGAUUUGGGUGAGUUUCUGGUCAUUUUU